AAUUAAACAUUUUGGUUUAUUUUGUAAAAUAAUUUCUUUUAAUAAAACAUUUUUAAAUUUAGUAAAGGUGAUAGAAAUUUAUUAAUUAAAUCCAAGAAAAGUACUGUGAAGGAAUUUUAUUGAAUAAAAUAAAAAAAAGAGUCAAUUUCUGUACCUUUUGCAUCAUGGUUUAGCUAGAUAUUUAUUUACUAUUAAAUUUCUCGAAAUCUAAUGAGUUAUUUCUAUUCAAUAUAUUAGUAUAAAAGAGUAGUUGUAGCAAAAACUUUCUUAGAAAUAGAAAUGGAAAUGAAAUUUUAUUCGUAUUAGAUGAUAGCUAGUUCUUCUUAAAGGCAUAUAAGUGCUUAAAACUAACUUUAUUUUUAUAAUAUUAAAUAUAAAGAAUAUUUAGUUUGGUUAAAUUUUUGAGGAUAAGCUCGAAAAUUUUUUAUUAUAUUUGCAUUUUAUUUUUAUUAGAAUUUAGGCUUGAAAAUAGCCAUAAUUAUGAAUUUGUUAUAAUUUCAUUAAUUACUUAAGAAAAUAAUAAAUUUGCUUUUUAUAAGUGAAGAAAACUUAAUAACCUAAUUAAGUUGAAUUAAUGCUAAAAUGAGUAUUAUACUAACAUAUUUAAGGUUAACAAUAAAUAAAUGUUUUCAUUAAAAUAUCUAUAUAAAAAAUAAAUCAUAAAAAGGAACUCGGCAAAUUGACAUUCUGCCUGUUUAGCAAAAACAUGGCUCCUUGAUUUUUAAUAAUAAGGAGUCGGACCUGCCCAGUGAAUUUUUUUAACGGCCGCGGUACUCUGACCGUGCAAAGGUAGCAUAAUCAUUUGCCUUAUAAUUGAAGGCUAGUAUGAAUGGUUUGACAAGAAUGUAGCUGUCUCUUUAUGAUUAAAUAGAAUUUUAUUUUUAGGUGAAGAAGCCUAAAUUUUAUUAAAAGACAAGAAGACCCUAUCGAGCUUAAAAAGAAUUAAUAGAAUUAAAAUUUAUAUAACUAAAAAAUUAUCUAUUACAAAUUUUAGUUGGGGCGACUGAGGAACAAAAAAAGCUUCCUUUAUCUAAUUUUAAUGUCAUACUAGAGAUGAUCCAAAUUUUUUUGAUUAAAGGAAUUAGUUACCGUAGGGAUAACAGCAUUAUCUUUUUUAAGAGCUCAUAUCGAAAAAAAGGUUUGUGACCUCGAUGUUGGACCAGAAUAUCCUAAAGGUGCAGCAGCCUUUAAGGGUUGGUCUGUUCGACCAUUAAAAUUCUACGUGAUCUGAGUUCAGACCGGCGUGAGCCAGGUCAGUUUCUAUCUUUAAUUAAAUAAAUAAAUUUAGUACGAAAGGACCAAUUUAUUAUAAUAUUAUAUUUAUUAUUGAUUAAAUAUAAUUGUUAAUUAAAUGAUCAAAUUAGCAAAAAUUAAUGCAAUUGACUUAGGAUCAAUAGAUAUAGGUGAAAUCCCUUUAUUUGAUAGUAUAAAGGUGGCAGAUGAA
This 1444-nucleotide ribosomal RNA is filed under the name Nassarius jacksonianus. Its description in RNAcentral is "partial 16S ribosomal RNA". The stretch from base 76 to 1287 matches the Rfam family "Bacterial large subunit ribosomal RNA". Lineage: Eukaryota; Metazoa; Mollusca; Gastropoda; Neogastropoda; Nassariidae. The record is from RNAcentral.